This 497-nucleotide ribosomal RNA is filed under the name uncultured bacterium. RNAcentral describes it as "partial 16S ribosomal RNA". It matches the Rfam family "Bacterial small subunit ribosomal RNA", at positions 28 to 507 of the family's 1533-position model. The record is from RNAcentral.
GAUGAACGCUGGCGGCGUGCCUAAUACAUGCAAGUCGAGCGAACAGACGAGGAGCUUGCUCCUCUGACGUUAGCGGCGGACGGGUGAGUAACACGUGGAUAACCUACCUAUAAGACUGGGAUAACUUCGGGAAACCGGAGCUAAUACCGGAUAAUAUAUUGAACCGCAUGGUUCAAUAGUGAAAGACGGUUUUGCUGUCACUUAUAGAUGGAUCCGCGCCGCAUUAGCUAGUUGGUAAGGUAACGGCUUACCAAGGCAACGAUGCGUAGCCGACCUGAGAGGGUGAUCGGCCACACGGGAGCUGAGACACGGUCCAGACUCCUACGGGAGGCAGCAGUAGGGAAUCUUCCGCAAUGGGCGAAAGCCUGACGGAGCAACGCCGCGUGAGUGAUGAAGGUCUUCGGAUCGUAAAACUCUGUUAUUAGGGAAGAACAAAUGUGUAAGUAACUAUGCACGUCUUGACGGUACCUAAUCAGAAAGCCACGGCUAACUACGUG